UACGUAGGGUGCGAGCGUUAAUCGGAAUUACUGGGCGUAAAGCGUGCGCAGGCGGUUCGAUAAGUCCGAUGUGAAAGCCCCGGGCUCAACCUGGGAAUGGCAUUGGAAACUGGCGGGCUGGAGUGUGGCAGAGGGGGGUGGAAUUCCGCGUGUAGCAGUGAAAUGCGUAGAGAUGCGGAGGAACACCGAUGGCGAAGGCAGCCCCCUGGGCUGACACUGACGCUCAGGCACGAAAGCGUGGGGAGCAAACAGG
RNAcentral lists this ribosomal RNA (253 nucleotides) under uncultured bacterium. RNAcentral's name for it is "partial 16S ribosomal RNA". It matches the Rfam family "Bacterial small subunit ribosomal RNA", at positions 524 to 776 of the family's 1533-position model. The record is from RNAcentral.